CUCGAGUGCCAGGUUACAAAUCUGGCUGUCGAGAUGCCUAAAAAGCAUUUCAUAGCAAGGGCCGGGCAAGACCGGUGCCAGCCGCCGCGGUAACACCGGCGGCUCGAGUGGUAACCGUUAUUAUUGGGUCUAAAGGGUCUGUAGCCGGCCGGAUAAGUCUCUUGAGAAAUCUGGCAGCUUAACUGUCAGGCUUUCAGGAGAUACUGUCUGGCUCGAGGCCGGGAGAGGUGAGAGGUACUUCAGGGGUAGGGGUGAAAUCUUGUAAUCCUUGAAGGACCACCAGUGGCGAAGGCGUCUCACCAGAACGGACCUGACGGCAAGGGACGAAAGCUAGGGGCACGAACCGGAUUAGAUACCCGGGUAGUCCUAGCCGUAAACGAUACUCGCUAGGUGUCGGCCACGGUGCGACCGUUGUCGGUGCCGUAGGGAAGCCGUGAAGCGA
RNAcentral lists this ribosomal RNA (442 nucleotides) under uncultured archaeon. RNAcentral's name for it is "bacterial SSU rRNA". It matches the Rfam family "Archaeal small subunit ribosomal RNA", at positions 380 to 822 of the family's 1478-position model. The record is from RNAcentral.